This 371-nucleotide ribosomal RNA is filed under the name uncultured bacterium. RNAcentral describes it as "bacterial SSU rRNA". It matches the Rfam family "Bacterial small subunit ribosomal RNA", at positions 527 to 896 of the family's 1533-position model. The record is from RNAcentral.
GGGGGGGGCAAGCGUUGUUCGGAAUUACUGGGCGUAAAGGGUUCGUAGGUGGCCAACUAAGCCAGACGUGAAAUCCCUCAGCUUAACUGGGGAACUGCGUCUGGGACUGGAUGGCUUGAGUGCAGGAGAGGAACGCGGAAUUCCAGGUGUAGCGGUGAAAUGCGUAGAUAUCUGGAGGAACACCGGUGGCGAAGGCGGCGUUCUGGACUGCAACUGACACUGAGGAACGAAAGCCAGGGGAGCAAACGGGAUUAGAUACCCCGGUAGUUCUGGCCCUAAACGAUGAAUGCUUGGUGUGGCGGGUAUCGAUCCCUGCCGUGCCGCAGUUAACGCGUUAAGCAUUCCGCCUGGGGGGUACGGUCGCAAGGCUG